Molecule: long non-coding RNA, 780 nt
Organism: Triticum aestivum (bread wheat)
Lineage: Eukaryota; Viridiplantae; Streptophyta; Magnoliopsida; Poales; Poaceae
Exons: 3
Source: RefSeq, a predicted model, not a curated record
GGGAGACGUACCGUGCACGGUGGAAAAUAGAAAAAAUCUGGUGGGCGACCCUGGUUGCGCCAUCCUCUGCGGAACAGCUGUUGGAUCUCGCUGGGCUGCUGGGUUGCCGGUGCUGAUGUUGUGAGGGGCUGCCGGUGAGACAGGCGACGUGGUCGCGAUGUCAUCGCGGGCGGCGAAGAAGAGCAGCAGCAGGGCCAUCACCACCCCGAGGCACCUGUGCGGAUUCGGCCGUGGGGUGGCUCGGCAUUAAUUGGCCGGGCUCAGGCGAGACGGCCAUGGCGGCAACCUUCGCCCCCUCCACAAACCCGUCACUGUCACUCCCCUUCCCGCGGGUUUCAGGUCUUAAGGCAAAUCCUCCUCGCCGCUGCCACUCCUCCAAGCCAUCGUAGUCUGUAACAGGGAAAUAGGUGGAUCAACAUUAAAGCAUAACAAUUAGGGAAGUUGUACAUUGCAUCACUCUUCCUUUUCGCUAUAGUUACACCGAUGCCGCCUGCUGAUGUUUUUUUUUGUAAAUAGUCUCCGAUAAGGAAGAGAUAUUCUGAUGACAUGCUUAUAGGCUUUUGAUUGAAGAAUGGAGAAGAGGAUUAUAAAUCCUGGCCUGCAAUGAAAGCUUAGGAGUGUAUCAGUUAAAGCAAAAUUGGCAAGUUAAGGGGAGAGGAAUAUCUUGAUGAUGGCAGUAAGAUAGUGUGAUUGUGUAUGUCCUCCAUUUUGGUAUUUUGUCCUUCAAAUAAAUGAUGGAUUGAUUGAUUGAUUUAUUGUAGUCUAUUAUUGUCUCAUGAU